GGGUUGUGAGGUUAAGCGACUAAGCGUACACGGUGGAUGCCCUGGCAGUCAGAGGCGAUGAAGGGCGUGCUAAUCUGCGAUAAGCGCCGGUAAGGUGAUAUGAACCGUUAUAACCGGCGAUACCCGAAUGGGGAAACCCAGUGUGACUCGUCACACUAUCAUUAACUGAAUCCAUAGGUUAAUGAGGCGAACCGGGGGAACUGAAACAUCUAAGUACCCCGAGGAAAAGAAAUCAACCGAGAUUCCCCCAGUAGCGGCGAGCGAACGGGGAGGAGCCCAGAGCCUGAAUCAGCAUGUGUGUUAGUGGAAGCGUCUGGAAAGGCGCGCGAUACAGGGUGACAGCCCCGUACACAAAAGCGCAUGUGCUGUGAGCUCGAUGAGUAGGGCGGGACACGUGGUAUCCUGUCUGAAUAUGGGGGGACCAUCCUCCAAGGCUAAAUACUCCUGACUGACCGAUAGUGAACCAGUACCGUGAGGGAAAGGCGAAAAGAACCCCGGCGAGGGGAGUGAAAAAGAACCUGAAACCGUGUACGUACAAGCAGUGGGAGCACCCUUCGGGGUGUGACUGCGUACCUUUUGUAUAAUGGGUCAGCGACUUAUAUUCUGUAGCAAGGUUAACCGUAUAGGGGAGCCGGAGGGAAACCGAGUCUUAACCGGGCGUUAAGUUGCAGGGUAUAGACCCGAAACCCGGUGAUCUAGCCAUGGGCAGGUUGAAGGUUGGGUAACACUAACUGGAGGACCGAACCGACUAAUGUUGAAAAAUUAGCGGAUGACCUGUGGCUGGGGGUGAAAGGCCAAUCAAACCGGGAGAUAGCUGGUUCUCCCCGAAAGCUAUUUAGGUAGCGCCUCGUGAAUUCAUCUCCGGGGGUAGAGCACUGUUUCGGCUAGGGGGCCAUCCCGGCUUACCAACCCGAUGCAAACUGCGAAUACCGGAGAAUGUUAUCACGGGAGACACACGGCGGGUGCUAACGUCCGUCGUGAAGAGGGAAACAACCCAGACCGCCAGCUAAGGUCCCAAAGUCAUGGUUAAGUGGGAAACGAUGUGGGAAGGCCCAGACAGCCAGGAUGUUGGCUUAGAAGCAGCCAUCAUUUAAAGAAAGCGUAAUAGCUCACUGGUCGAGUCGGCCUGCGCGGAAGAUGUAACGGGGCUAAACCAUGCACCGAAGCUGCGGCAGCGACGCUUAUGCGUUGUUGGGUAGGGGAGCGUUCUGUAAGCCUGUGAAGGUGGCCUGUGAGGGUUGCUGGAGGUAUCAGAAGUGCGAAUGCUGACAUAAGUAACGAUAAAGCGGGUGAAAAGCCCGCUCGCCGGAAGACCAAGGGUUCCUGUCCAACGUUAAUCGGGGCAGGGUGAGUCGACCCCUAAGGCGAGGCCGAAAGGCGUAGUCGAUGGGAAACAGGUUAAUAUUCCUGUACUUGGUGUUACUGCGAAGGGGGGACGGAGAAGGCUAUGUUGGCCGGGCGACGGUUGUCCCGGUUUAAGCGUGUAGGUGUGUGUUCCAGGUAAAUCCGGUUCACUUUAACACUGAGGCGUGAUGACGAGGCACUACGGUGCUGAAGCAACAAAUGCCCUGCUUCCAGGAAAAGCCUCUAAGCAUCAGGUAACAUCAAAUCGUACCCCAAACCGACACAGGUGGUCAGGUAGAGAAUACCAAGGCGCUUGAGAGAACUCGGGUGAAGGAACUAGGCAAAAUGGUGCCGUAACUUCGGGAGAAGGCACGCUGACACGUAGGUGAAGUGAUUUACUCAUGGAGCUGAAGUCAGUCGAAGAUACCAGCUGGCUGCAACUGUUUAUUAAAAACACAGCACUGUGCAAACACGAAAGUGGACGUAUACGGUGUGACGCCUGCCCGGUGCCGGAAGGUUAAUUGAUGGGGUCAGCGCAAGCGAAGCUCCUGAUCGAAGCCCCGGUAAACGGCGGCCGUAACUAUAACGGUCCUAAGGUAGCGAAAUUCCUUGUCGGGUAAGUUCCGACCUGCACGAAUGGCGUAAUGAUGGCCAGGCUGUCUCCACCCGAGACUCAGUGAAAUUGAACUCGCUGUGAAGAUGCAGUGUACCCGCGGCAAGACGGAAAGACCCCGUGAACCUUUACUAUAGCUUGACACUGAACAUUGAGCCUUGAUGUGUAGGAUAGGUGGGAGGCUUUGAAGUGUGGACGCCAGUCUGCAUGGAGCCGACCUUGAAAUACCACCCUUUAAUGUUUGAUGUUCUAACGUGGACCCGUAAUCCGGGUUGCGGACAGUGUCUGGUGGGUAGUUUGACUGGGGCGGUCUCCUCCUAAAGAGUAACGGAGGAGCACGAAGGUUGGCUAAUCCUGGUCGGACAUCAGGAGGUUAGUGCAAUGGCAUAAGCCAGCUUGACUGCGAGCGUGACGGCGCGAGCAGGUGCGAAAGCAGGUCAUAGUGAUCCGGUGGUUCUGAAUGGAAGGGCCAUCGCUCAACGGAUAAAAGGUACUCCGGGGAUAACAGGCUGAUACCGCCCAAGAGUUCAUAUCGACGGCGGUGUUUGGCACCUCGAUGUCGGCUCAUCACAUCCUGGGGCUGAAGUAGGUCCCAAGGGUAUGGCUGUUCGCCAUUUAAAGUGGUACGCGAGCUGGGUUUAGAACGUCGUGAGACAGUUCGGUCCCUAUCUGCCGUGGGCGCUGGAGAACUGAGGGGGGCUGCUCCUAGUACGAGAGGACCGGAGUGGACGCAUCACUGGUGUUCGGGUUGUCAUGCCAAUGGCACUGCCCGGUAGCUAAAUGCGGAAGAGAUAAGUGCUGAAAGCAUCUAAGCACGAAACUUGCCCCGAGAUGAGUUCUCCCUGAGACUUAGAGUCUCCUGAAGGAACGUUGAAGACGACGACGUUGAUAGGCCGGGUGUGUAAGCGCAGCGAUGCGUUGAGCUAACCGGUACUAAUGAACCGUGAGGCUUAACCUUACAACGCCGAAG
This 2927-nucleotide ribosomal RNA is filed under the name Salmonella enterica subsp. enterica serovar Wandsworth str. SA20092095. Its description in RNAcentral is "bacterial LSU rRNA". It matches the Rfam family "Bacterial large subunit ribosomal RNA". Lineage: Bacteria; Pseudomonadati; Pseudomonadota; Gammaproteobacteria; Enterobacterales; Enterobacteriaceae. The record is from RNAcentral.